GCCGCUGUAGUUCUAGUGAUAAAACAGGCGAUUGGUAAUCGUCAGUCAGGAGUUUGAUUCUCCUCGGCGGCACCA
RNAcentral lists this transfer RNA (75 nucleotides) under Candidatus Pelagibacter sp. Its description in RNAcentral is "tRNA-Thr". It matches the Rfam family "tRNA". Rfam says of the family: Transfer RNA (tRNA) molecules are approximately 80 nucleotides in length. Their secondary structure includes four short double-helical elements and three loops (D, anti-codon, and T loops). Further hydrogen bonds mediate the characteristic L-shaped molecular structure. tRNAs have two regions of fundamental functional importance: the anti-codon, which is responsible for specific mRNA codon recognition, and the 3' end, to which the tRNAs corresponding amino acid is attached (by aminoacyl-tRNA synthetases). tRNAs cope with the degeneracy of the genetic code in two manners: having more than one tRNA (with a specific anti-codon) for a particular amino acid; and 'wobble' base-pairing, i.e. permitting non-standard base-pairing at the 3rd anti-codon position. The record is from RNAcentral. Lineage: Bacteria; Pseudomonadati; Pseudomonadota; Alphaproteobacteria; Candidatus Pelagibacterales; Candidatus Pelagibacteraceae.